UAGGGAAUCUUCCGCAAUGGACGCAAGUCUGACGGAGCAACGCCGCGUGAGUGAAGAAGGAUUUCGGUUCGUAAAACUCUGUUGUUAGAGAAGAACAGCGCAUAGAGUAACUGUUAUGCGUGUGACGGUAUCUAACCAGAAAGCCACGGCUAACUACGUGCCAGCAGCCGCGGUAAUACGUAGGUGGCAAGCGUUGUCCGGAUUUAUUGGGCGUAAAGCGAGCGCAGGCGGUCAAUUAAGUCGGAUGUGAAAGCCCCCGGCUCAACCGGGGAGGGUCAUUGGAAACUGGUUGACUUGAGUGCAGAAGAGGAGAGUGGAAUUCCAUGUGUAGCGGUGAAAUGCGUAGAUAUAUGGAGGAAAACCAGUGGCGAAGGCGACUCUCUGGUCUGUAACUGACGCUGAGGCUCGAAAGCGUGGGUAGCAAACAGG
This 429-nucleotide ribosomal RNA is filed under the name Bacteroidota bacterium. RNAcentral's name for it is "Bacteroidetes bacterium partial 16S ribosomal RNA". It matches the Rfam family "Bacterial small subunit ribosomal RNA", at positions 355 to 776 of the family's 1533-position model. The record is from RNAcentral. Lineage: Bacteria; Pseudomonadati; Bacteroidota.